UCUUUUCUUUUGAUAGGAGAGUUUUUAAAACCAGUGUUAUUUUUGUAAGUUUAAGAGAAGUUUGUGUAUUGAAUUUUUAAUAUUAAAGAGCUUUGUUAAACUUAGACUUAAGUUUAGGUCAUUUUGGGGGUUUAGCUCAGUUGGCUAGAGCAUCGGCUUUGCAAGCCGAGGGUCAAGGGUUCGAGUCCCUUAACCUCCAUUGGGCUUAUGCCCUAAAUCGUAAUUAAGUAUGUUUUUAAGUAACUUUGUUAAAGUAAUUGUUGGAAUGUGAAACAGAGGAAGUUAAAAUUUCUGGGUUAAGUUGAGAUCUGUUGAUAUUAAGAAGAAUCUCUAGAAGCAAAAGCAAGCUUUCGAUAAAACCCGAAGUUGUUUCGCUAAAGUGCAAGGAUUAAACAGGAUUGUAUUUUCCAGUAGCCUAUUUUAUAAACGAUCUGCAUUUAGUAAAUAGUUUUUAGUUAAGAAAUAAUGUAGAUUGCUAAGUGUGAUGCCUGAAAGAAGGACAAGUAUUGUAGCGAGCCUAAAUCCUUGUUAUCGUUGCCAGUAUUUAGUGGUAGGGAUUCGGAUAAGACUGCCAUUUAUAAGUUGGAGGAAGGCAAAGAUUGCAUUAAAUCGUUAUCGCUCUUAUGUUUUAGGUUACAAGUUUGCCACAAUAACCCAAAAAAGCUAAGCAAAAUGCUAUAAAGCAGAUUUCAGUUUGGAUUUGCCCGACACUCAAUGGCAUGAAGUUGUAAUUGUUAGUAAUCG
Molecule: transfer RNA, 744 nt
Filed under: Borreliella burgdorferi (Lyme disease spirochete)
Lineage: Bacteria; Pseudomonadati; Spirochaetota; Spirochaetia; Spirochaetales; Borreliaceae
Description: partial contains 16S ribosomal RNA and 16S-23S ribosomal RNA intergenic spacer
Rfam family: tRNA (bases 126-199)
Source: RNAcentral